UAUCAGGGUCUCACAGAAUUUGAG
Molecule: non-coding RNA, 24 nt
Filed under: Arabidopsis thaliana (thale cress)
Lineage: Eukaryota; Viridiplantae; Streptophyta; Magnoliopsida; Brassicales; Brassicaceae
Source: RNAcentral